CCUACGGGAGGCAGCAGUGGGGAAUUUUGGACAAUGGGGGCAACCCUGAUCCAGCAAUGCCGCGUGAGUGAAGAAGGCCUUCGGGUUGUAAAGCUCUUUUGUCAGGGAAGAAACAGCAGCUCUAACACAGACUGCGAAUGACGGUACCUGAAGAAUAAGCACCGGCUAACUACGUGCCAGCAGCCGCGGUAAUACGUAGGGUGCGAGCGUUAAUCGGAAUUACUGGGCGUAAAGCGUGCGCAGGCGGUUAUACAAGACAGGCGUGAAAUCCCCGGGCUUAACCUGGGAAUGGCGUCUGUGACUGUAUAGCUAGAGUGUGUCAGAGGGGGGUGGAAUUCCACGUGUAGCAGUGAAAUGCGUAGAUAUGUGGAGGAACACCAAUGGCGAAGGCAGCCCCCUGGGAUAACACUGACGCUCAUGCACGAAAGCGUGGGGAGCAAACAGGAUUAGAUACCCUGGUAGUCCACGCCCUAAACGAUGCUGACUAGUUGUUGGGAAUUUACAUUCUCAGUAACGUAGCUAACGCGUGAAGUCAGCCGCCUGGGGAGUACGGUCGCAAGAUUAAAACUCAAAUGAAUUGACGG
Molecule: ribosomal RNA, 584 nt
Filed under: uncultured bacterium
Lineage: Bacteria
Description: bacterial SSU rRNA
Rfam family: Bacterial small subunit ribosomal RNA
Source: RNAcentral